GGGCACCUAGCUCAGUUGGUUAGAGCACCCCGUUUACACCGGGGGGGUCGGGGGUUCGAAUCCCUCGGUGCCCA
This 74-nucleotide transfer RNA is filed under the name Candidatus Curtissbacteria bacterium. Its description in RNAcentral is "tRNA-Val". It matches the Rfam family "tRNA". Rfam says of the family: Transfer RNA (tRNA) molecules are approximately 80 nucleotides in length. Their secondary structure includes four short double-helical elements and three loops (D, anti-codon, and T loops). The record is from RNAcentral. Lineage: Bacteria; Candidatus Curtissiibacteriota.